This is a long non-coding RNA of Dalotia coriaria, 259 nucleotides long. RefSeq lists it as uncharacterized. Lineage: Eukaryota; Metazoa; Arthropoda; Insecta; Coleoptera; Staphylinidae. The record is from RefSeq and is a predicted model, not a curated record. The transcript is spliced from 2 exons.
CUGACAAAGCCGUUGAGUUUGCGGGUAUUCAAUGCCAGAUUCAUUUUGGCAAUUUCAAUGUAGCCAAACACAAGCCAGGACUUCUAGAUUUGAAAGAAUUCCUUCCACAAAGCUUUAUCAAGAAGGGAGUCGAAAGAAAAAUUUUCCAGGAACACGCUAAACAUAACGGUUUGUCUGACCUGAACGCAAAAGUCUUGUACACGAAACUAGCGCGCUCACUGAAAACCUACGGCGUCACUUUCUUCCUGGUAAAAGAAAA